UUCGGGAACGUCUGAGACAGGUGCUGCAUGGCUGUCGUCAGCUCGUGUUGUGAAAUGUUGGUUAAGUCCCGCAACGAGCGCAACCCUUAUCCUUUGUUGCCAGCGAGUAAUGUCGGGAACUCAAAGGAGACUGCCGGUGAUAAACCGGAGGAAGGUGGGGAUGACGUCAAGUCAUCAUGGCCCUUACGAGUAGGGCUACACACGUGCUACAAUGGCAUAUACAAAGAGAAGCGAACUCGCGAGAGCAAGCGGACCUCAUAAAGUAUGUCGUAGUCCGGAUUGGAGUCUGCAACUCGACUCCAUGAAGUCGGAAUCGCUAGUAAUCGUAGAUCAGAAUGCUACGGUGAAUACGUUCCCGGGCCUU
This 364-nucleotide ribosomal RNA is filed under the name uncultured Enterobacteriaceae bacterium. Its description in RNAcentral is "bacterial SSU rRNA". It matches the Rfam family "Bacterial small subunit ribosomal RNA", at positions 1016 to 1382 of the family's 1533-position model. The record is from RNAcentral. Lineage: Bacteria; Pseudomonadati; Pseudomonadota; Gammaproteobacteria; Enterobacterales; Enterobacteriaceae.